Long non-coding RNA from Brachypodium distachyon (stiff brome), 627 nucleotides. RefSeq lists it as uncharacterized. The record is from RefSeq and is a predicted model, not a curated record. Lineage: Eukaryota; Viridiplantae; Streptophyta; Magnoliopsida; Poales; Poaceae. The transcript is spliced from 2 exons.
ACCAUGGACACGGAAGCUCUCAAAAAAAAAAAAAACCCCACGGACACGGACGGAGAACGGCGGCGGCGUUCUCAUGGUUCGCCCGCCGCCCUCAGCCUCGCCCCGGCAUGGGAUCGAGGGCCGGUGCCUACUGCCGCUGACGGGGACGAGACUCGCGAAAAAGAAGGAUCCGUCGACCAAGGAUUGGUGGAUACUGGCCAACUAAAGUUUUCACAAAAAAGGGAGAUAAAGUAAAUGUAUGGCCAUCGGAUAUUGACCAAAUUGUAUUUGAUGGACAAGCCGGGGGUCCAACUGUUACACCACAAAUGGGAAGCGGACAUUUUGCAGAAAAGCUCACUAUGCCAGGGAUAUAGGGACAUAGCAGUUAUGAACAACAAUGGUGUACUUAUCCCGUUUGACUAGGACAAGACUUUGCUUAUUCUACUAAACUCCCGUGCUACACUGUCGAUGGAUAUGCGCACAACCACACAGGAGCACAUGUCUACCCGGGUGGUUGUUGACAGAAUAAUGGCUUUUAUGUAUUGAUGCUUGGGCUGAAUAAUAAGAAAUCUUUAUGGGCAGCUGUAAUGUGUUAAAAACUUGAUCAUAAGGCCUAUGUGACAAACCUUAAGGGUGACCUUUUACACA